AGGGUUUGAUCAUGGCUCAGGAUGAACGCUGGCGGCGUGCUUAACACAUGCAAGUCGAACGAACCUUCGGGUUAGUGGCGGACGGGUGAGUAACGCGUGAGAAUCUGCCCUCAGGAGGGGGAUAACGGUUGGAAACGACCGCUAAUACCCCAUAUGCCUAUUGGUGAAAUGAAUUUCGCCUGAGGAUGAGCUCGCGUCUGAUUAGCUUGUUGGUGAGGUAAUGGCUCACCAAGGCUUCGAUCAGUAGCUGGUCUGAGAGGAUGAUCAGCCACACUGGGACUGAGACACGGCCCAGACUCCUACGGGAGGCAGCAGUGGGGAAUUUUCCGCAAUGGGCGAAAGCCUGACGGAGCAACGCCGCGUGAGGGACGAAGGCCUCUGGGCUGUAAACCUCUUUUCUCAAGGAAGAAGAUAUGACGGUACUUGAGGAAUAAGCCACGGCUAAUUCCGUGCCAGCAGCCGCGGUAAUACGGGAGUGGCAAGCGUUAUCCGGAAUUAUUGGGCGUAAAGCGUCCGCAGGCGGCUUUUCAAGUCUGCUGUUAAAGCGUGGAGCUUAACUCCAUCAUGGCAGUGGAAACUGAAAGGCUUGAGUAUGGUAGGGGCAGAGGGAAUUCCCGGUGUAGCGGUGAAAUGCGUAGAUAUCGGGAAGAACACCAGUGGCGAAGGCGCUCUGCUGGGCCAUUACUGACGCUCAUGGACGAAAGCCAGGGGAGCGAAAGGGAUUAGAUACCCCUGUAGUCCUGGCCGUAAACGAUGAACACUAGGUGUCGGGGGAAUCGACCCCUUCGGUGUCGUAGCUAACGCGUUAAGUGUUCCGCCUGGGGAGUACGCACGCAAGUGUGAAACUCAAAGGAAUU
RNAcentral lists this ribosomal RNA (857 nucleotides) under uncultured bacterium. RNAcentral describes it as "bacterial SSU rRNA". It matches the Rfam family "Bacterial small subunit ribosomal RNA", at positions 8 to 911 of the family's 1533-position model. The record is from RNAcentral.